AUUUUAAGAGAAAUUAUUAAAAUUCACAAAUAUGUCGAAAUUUUAAGAAUAUAUUUCCAGUCCUUACUAUUUACUAAACAUUUCAAAUACCAAAAUAUAUUUUACAUAAUAUAUUAAUUUAUAUAUUAUCAAAAAUAUCUAAUAAAAUUCAUAGUUAUAGACAUUGGAAUACUCAAAAUACUCUAUAAAUAUUAAGUUGGUAUUUGCAACAAUUUUAAUAUGAUAACAGUCUUAAUAUCGGGAAUUUAUAAAAUAUAUCCUGAAAAUAAAUUUAAAUCAGAUAUUUAUCAAAUACAAGAUAUAUUGUUUAAAUGGAAUUUGAUAAGUCGAGAACCGAGAACCGAACCGAAACACAAAUAAAAAAAAUAAAAACAAAAACCGAAUCAUUGUUCACAAAUAUCUGAACAGUUUCUAUAUCCAAACUAUAUUUUGGUUUUUAAACUUAAACCAAACACAAGCUAUUUAUAAUUCGGUUCCAUUUUGGAUUUUAUAGAAAUAGAAACCCGAUCUAUACCAGACAUUAUCUGAACUGAUCCAAUCCAAAUGAAACCAUUAUAUUGUUGUGUAUUGAAAUCUUUAUGUAAUUAUUGGGGAAAAAAACAUCCGCGAGG
This 611-nucleotide long non-coding RNA is filed under the name Brassica rapa (field mustard). RNAcentral's name for it is "long non-coding RNA (BRAP_LNC003582)". The record is from RNAcentral. Lineage: Eukaryota; Viridiplantae; Streptophyta; Magnoliopsida; Brassicales; Brassicaceae.